This is a long non-coding RNA of Anas platyrhynchos (mallard), 1832 nucleotides long. RefSeq lists it as uncharacterized. The record is from RefSeq and is a predicted model, not a curated record. NCBI's taxonomy places the organism in Eukaryota, Metazoa, Chordata, Aves, Anseriformes, Anatidae.
UCUCCGCUUCCCUCAGCCCGGACGUCAAGGCUGCGCAAAGGCAUCACUUUCCAAGCCGUCUGUGUGAAUGAACUGGCUGCUCCGAACCAGCUCGCUCUGGUUCUCCAAAGUUUGUUUACUGAACAGCGUGUGCAGAGAGAGACACACACACUGAGCAUGGGGGCUGCAGGGGGGGAGACGAACCAGCGGGGCCGCCUGGUUCACCCAGCGAGUCCGCCCUCCACCCAGAGCCACCGGCUUCUGGUGACGGCUCGAAAAAGGGAAGGAAAUAUCCAUUAACCGGGGAACUGACCUACGGACAUGCGAACGUCAGGCUGCGCUGGAGCUGAACACGAUUUAUUUCGCGUUUCAAAAUAGCGGGUAUCUUAAAAAUUCAGCUUCACAAGUCCCACCAAUAAGUAAGAAUCACAGCUUUAUUUCUUUUUAAUUUUUAUAAAUUAAUUUACAUACAAGGCUGAACAGGAAAUUUUGUAUUCCUCACCCUAAAGACAUGCAAAAUUACAUUUAAAAAAGCAAAUGCUAUUUCCAAAAUCAUAAUUCCUCGUUCUUGUGAUUUUGUCCCAUGCAUAAUUUCUUUAUUUCCUCUGACUUGUAUUACCCAAACAGCAAGUCUAACCACAUGGGUCGCCUCCAAAUCUAGCUUCCACAGAUUUAACAACUUGACAGAGAUCACACUCAAGUUAGAACAGAUCUAUUUAUCCAUGCAGGAGUUUCCUAAAUCUAACAUACAGAUGUAACAAACACGCUAUCUGACAUGGUGUAAACUUUUGGAAGCGUUUAAAAAUUUGGCUUUGACAUCUCUCCCUCCUCAGUGUGUAUAUCCUGAUUUCCAAGUCACUUCUUUCAAAUCCACGACACUCUGUUAACCGUAGCAGAGUUCUUCCCCACUUCCACUGUUGAAGUGAAAACAGUCUGACAGCUGCCAAAUUUCCCAACUUUAAAUGGCUGUUUUCUCAGCAUAUUACUGUUACAAUUCUCUCCCAACCCCUGGCAGUCCAAAUGUGGAUGCUGAGUCAGAUACACAGGACCAUCACAAUAUAUAUAGAUGAGCUCCUACCACAGAUAUUCUUAAUAAUUACUAAGCAGCCCAGGCUGUAGCAAGACACUUUGGCAGGGUUCAGCUCCCUUGCAAAGGAAAUACGAACUUAGAAUUAAAUAGAAAAUAUCGAAGAAUAAAAUAUAUACUUUUGCAAAGAUUAGGUGCUGAAUGUUUUUGUUACCAAGUUCUUUCACUACCUAUUUGUGUUAAUAAGAUCAGUUUAUAGCUGUAUAUUGAAGGUGUGACAUAACUUGUUCCAAUCAAAUUAAUUUCCUUGCACAUUUUUCCUCAUGUCAAGCGGAACUUACAAAUUCUGGCAUUUGUUCAGAGGCAGGGGAAAAUACAUAAACCCGUCAUUGUAGGACAAAGACAAAAACAUCUGUAACUGUUGUGACUAGAUCGUAUUUGAGUUCAACAAGGGGGAAACUUGCUGCCUCAGAGAGGUAAUUCACAGCAGGAACUACGUAGGCUCAACGGAAAUGAAUGGGCAGAAAGAAAGGUAACUCACACAAAUGAUAUCUCAAUAAACUUAUGACCACUCUCACAUUUCCCAUAUGAGGGCCUCAACUCCGUGCAUUAUUUCCAUCUCCAACUACCCACCUUUUACUCCUUGCCUGGGACUCUCAUUUCACGACCCCAACUACUUUUCCCAUCUCUCAGUGAAACCGCAAGUCCAACACCAUCUCUUAUCUCUAAUCCAUCCCACUAACACUGUGUCCUUUGCUGUUCCCCUGGUAGUUUACUCGAAUGGAAGUGAGCGUCUCCUUGCUGGUGGAGUUCCUUUAGCAGGUAC